Molecule: ribosomal RNA, 230 nt
Filed under: uncultured bacterium
Lineage: Bacteria
Description: partial 16S ribosomal RNA
Rfam family: Bacterial small subunit ribosomal RNA
Source: RNAcentral
UGAGGAACAUGACCUUCGGCGGGGGAUAGCCGGCCCAACGGCCGGGUAAUACCGCGUACGACCACAUGGGGACAUCCCUGAGUGGUGAAAGCAGCAAUGCGCCGAUGGAGUGCCUCGCGGCCUAUCAGCUAGUUGGUGAGGUAACGGCUCGCCAAGGCGACGACGGGUAGCUGGUCUGAGAGGAUGGCCAGCCACAUUGGGACUGAGACACGGCCCAGACUCUACGGGAA